UACAGAGGGUGCAAACGUUGCUCGGAAUUAUUGGGCGUAAAGGGCUCGUAGGCGGCCAACUAAGUCGGAUGUGAAAUCCCCAGGCUCAACUUGGGAACUGCAUCCGAUACUGGAUGGCUUGAAUUCGGGAGAGGGAUGCAGAAUUCCAGGUGUAGCGGUGAAAUGCGUAGAUAUCUGGAGGAAUACCGGUGGCGAAGGCGGCAUCCUGGACCGACAUUGACGCUGAGGAGCGAAAGCUAGGGGAGCAAACGGG
RNAcentral lists this ribosomal RNA (253 nucleotides) under uncultured bacterium. Its description in RNAcentral is "partial 16S ribosomal RNA". It matches the Rfam family "Bacterial small subunit ribosomal RNA", at positions 524 to 776 of the family's 1533-position model. The record is from RNAcentral.